AUUUCAAAACUUUUUUUAUUAUUUGUCAUGAAAGGCUUUUCAACAAGUGGAUUGAGAAAGUUACAUUUCAACUCUCAAACUGUAGGGGCCUUAUGUGAAACUGAACUUGCACACAGAGCAAGGACACAAAAUUAAAAUGAGAGCACAAGAGCACCAAAUCUUCGAGAUAUUUCAUCAUAACUUGUGACCUGGUAGCCUUUUUAAAAUGAGGGAGAAAAAAAAAUGAAACAAAAUCUGUAACAAUGAUCAACUGAUCAAUGCUAAUUUUAAGGUAUUCAGCACACUGGCAUUAGGACACUGAAAAUCCAGAUUCCAAAAUGACACGGUUUAACCAUAUAAGCAAUUUCUAAACAGUAAAUGAAUAAACAUCAAACAUUUUAAAAUACUGAAAUCAUAUAGCACUUUCUACUUCAGAGCUUAGCCAUGAUGAAACCAAAAUUUGAUUCAAAUUUGCAUAGACGCCUGUACUCUCUAGUCCUCCAAAACAAUAUAAGCUACAUUUCUUAAGACCCAAACUUGUUCUCAAGACAAUGGAGAUGAUCUGAUUUCAAAUGCUAUACGUGUUCAACACAAUCUUUACCUAGAUUUGAAGCCACUCAGACAGUGAAGUGAACAUUGCAAUUGAUGAGGUCUUCUAAAACUGUAUUAUAAUGACAAUCUCUCUAGAGAUGGUUUCAUGAUUGGUUAUAUUUGGCCUCAAAAUAAAUAUCACACAAGGAUAGUAAGUCUUCAUUUAAAGAGUUAAGUUUUCAGAUAUAUUCAUAGAUUUCUCUGAUAAUGCAAUCACUAAACUACCGUUAUUUGUAUUGAUAAAGUAGGCAUUACUAUAUAGCAGAUAUUUGCCCGGUAUGGCUAAGAAACCCCUGAGCACACACUUCACACCAACACGAUUCAAAUAUUGAAUGGAAACACUCCACGCUUGGCCAAAAGAGAGAAAAAAAG
This is a long non-coding RNA of Sinocyclocheilus grahami, 942 nucleotides long. RefSeq lists it as uncharacterized. The transcript has 2 exons. The record is from RefSeq and is a predicted model, not a curated record. Lineage: Eukaryota; Metazoa; Chordata; Actinopteri; Cypriniformes; Cyprinidae.